This 450-nucleotide ribosomal RNA is filed under the name uncultured bacterium. Its description in RNAcentral is "partial 16S ribosomal RNA". It matches the Rfam family "Bacterial small subunit ribosomal RNA", at positions 354 to 796 of the family's 1533-position model. The record is from RNAcentral.
GUGGGGAAUAUUGGACAAUGGGCGAAAGCCUGAUCCAGCCAUGCCGCGUGUGUGAAGAAGGUCUUCGGAUUGUAAAGCACUUUAAGUUGGGAGGAAGGGCAGUAAGUUAAUACCUUGCUGUUUUGACGUUACCGACAGAAUAAGCACCGGCUAACUUCGUGCCAGCAGCCGCGGUAAUACGAAGGGUGCAAGCGUUAAUCGGAAUUACUGGGCGUAAAGCGCGCGUAGGUGGUUUUGUAAGUUGGAGGUAAAAUCCCCGGGCUCAACCUGGGAACUGCCUCCAAAACUGCAUGACUAGAGUACGGUAGAGGGUAGUGGAAUUUCCUGUGUAGCGGUGAAAUGCGUAGAUAUAGGAAGGAACACCAGUGGCGAAGGCGACUACCUGGACUGAUACUGACACUGAGGUGCGAAAGCGUGGGGAGCAAACAGGAUUAGAAACCCUGGUAGUCC